CGUUUGCUUGCUGUGGGCAGAUGAAGUGGACGUGCGUGUCGAUGCCGCCGGCGGUGAUGAUCUUGCCUUCACCGGCCACGACAUCCGUGCAGCUCCCGACAAUCAUGUUGCUGGCGACGCCGUCCAUCACAUCUGGGUUCCCGGCCUUGCCGAUGCCCACGAUGAUGCCGUCCUUGACGCCGAUAUCCGCCUUGUAGAUGCCCGUCCAGUCCACAAUGAGCGCGUUCGUGAUGACCAGGUCGAGGGUUUCUGCGUCGGACCGUCCGCUCGCCUGCCCCAUG
Molecule: small RNA, 281 nt
Filed under: Escovopsis weberi
Lineage: Eukaryota; Fungi; Ascomycota; Sordariomycetes; Hypocreales; Hypocreaceae
Description: 5' ureB small RNA
Rfam family: 5' ureB small RNA
Source: Rfam by way of RNAcentral